This 425-nucleotide ribosomal RNA is filed under the name uncultured rumen bacterium. RNAcentral describes it as "bacterial SSU rRNA". It matches the Rfam family "Bacterial small subunit ribosomal RNA", at positions 354 to 776 of the family's 1533-position model. The record is from RNAcentral.
GUGGGGGAUAUUGGUCAAUGGGGGGAACCCUGAACCAGCCAUGCCGCGUGAGGGAGUAAGGCCCUACGGGUUGUAAACCUCUUUUGCCGGGGGAUAAGGACACCUACGUGUAGGUGUUUGAAGGUACCCGGAGAAUAAGCAUCGGCUAACUCCGUGCCAGCAGCCGCGGUAAUACGGAGGAUGCGAGCGUUAUCCGGAUUUAUUGGGUUUAAAGGGUGCGCAGGCGGGCGAUUAAGUCAGCGGUGAAAGGCUCGGGCUCAACCGGAGCAGUGCCGUUGAUACUGGUUGUCUUGAAUGCGGUCAAGGCCGGCGGAAUGUGGCGUGUAGCGGUGAAAUGCAUAGAUAUGCCACAGAACACCGAUAGCGAAGGCAGCUGGCCGGGCCUGCAUUGACGCUGAGGCACGAAAGCGUGGGGAUCGAACAGG